GAGAAAAGAAGAAAAGAGGGAGAAAGAAAAAGAGAAGAAAAAGAAGAAAAGAAGAAGAAGAAAGGGAUGGUUUUUGGAGAGAAUUUUUUUUUUACAUCUUGUGAUAGAAAAGAAAAGAAUUAUUGAAAGAGUUUAUUCAUAGGAAGAUUUUACAAUAGUUUAAGCACACCUAUAUAUCUAUUGAAGUUGAAUUAAAAACAGAUUAUCAUUUGAAUUCGAAGUUGUGUAGUGGAAGGUCAUCCCUUUGCUCGUUUCGUCUCUAGCUCGCUGCCCCGAAGAAGGUAUUUAAAACUGAUUUGUGUUGAUAAGUUGGUUGAUCGUCCGUAUUUCACAAGGUUAAAGGCUCCAAAGAUUCCUUCCCCAAUCAAAUUUGCAAAAAGAAAAGACAUCGAUGGGGGAUAACAAUGAUGAGAUUGACAUGAAUGAUGUUGUCGUGGCUCAACCCGCUGCGCUGAUAAAAAUGAACUAAUUAUGCAGUUGAUGCAACAGAUUGCCAAAAUGAGGGUCGAAAUGCAAAGAAUACAAGGAGCCGUUGGACAUGACACAGAGAAUUGUUCGACUCUGAAGCACAAGAUACAAAACAUGAUCAACAACAACUUGAUCAAUAUUGAGGAAACCACCUGAAUGGACGACAUAUUGGAUACUCAAGAGUGAGUACAAGACAUUUCUGAAUUGAGCCGUUUGAAGAUAUUCAUCAUCAAAGGUCGAGAAAAAGAAUGUCCAACAUUGGCCAAAUUUUGCAUAUGAAGUUUUGUUACCUUCCCUUUGAAAAUGUAUCGCACAUUUCUAACGAA
Molecule: long non-coding RNA, 794 nt
Organism: Solanum lycopersicum (tomato)
Lineage: Eukaryota; Viridiplantae; Streptophyta; Magnoliopsida; Solanales; Solanaceae
Source: RefSeq, a predicted model, not a curated record